AGCAGGAGAGACCCCCUUUGACAUUCUCUUGUUCUGAUUUUUCAGGCCUUUCCAUCUCAGUGGGUCUCCCUCACAUUGCUUCGGAUUUAGCUUUUUGCCGAAUCUAAAGUACAUCUGAAGAUAUCCUUUCUCAGGAAGAAGCAAAAGGCAAACAGUAGUUGAACACUUGGACUGCAAACAUAGAAUUGCUUCAUUUUACUCCUUGUGGGCUUUGGAUGAAACCCACAUACCCAAAGAUGUCUCCUUGCUGCAGAGGUGGCUAACAGUCAUAACAAACUCAUGGCAAACUGGGUAAGCUUCUUUGGUGAAAUGUAUUUAGUCACAGAGUACAUCUGAAAGGUAACACAACUGCUUUCAUCUUCCCAACCUUUGAACUUGGAGCAUGGAGUGGUCAAGAUUUGCUUUAAAAGUGUGUGCACAAAUAUACAUAAUUGCAUUUUAAUAGCAUAAAGCAAAUUUUUGAUUCUGCUGCACCCUUACUCACCUUGAGUAGGUUUUCACUCCAUCAAGUCUUGCUCAUUUUGAUAGAGCUUUUUGU
This 538-nucleotide long non-coding RNA is filed under the name Dromaius novaehollandiae (emu). RNAcentral's name for it is "lncRNA (ENSDNVG00000008339.1)". Lineage: Eukaryota; Metazoa; Chordata; Aves; Casuariiformes; Dromaiidae. The record is from RNAcentral.